This 847-nucleotide ribosomal RNA is filed under the name uncultured Actinomycetes bacterium. RNAcentral describes it as "bacterial SSU rRNA". It matches the Rfam family "Bacterial small subunit ribosomal RNA", at positions 531 to 1376 of the family's 1533-position model. Lineage: Bacteria; Bacillati; Actinomycetota; Actinomycetes. The record is from RNAcentral.
GGCGCGAGCGUUGUCCGGAAUUAUUGGGCGUAAAGAGCUUGUAGGCGGUUUGUCGCGUCUGCUGUGAAAGCCCGGGGCUUAACCCCGGGUUUGCAGUGGGUACGGGCAGACUAGAGUGCAGUAGGGGAGACUGGAAUUCCUGGUGUAGCGGUGAAAUGCGCAGAUAUCAGGAGGAACACCAAUGGCGAAGGCAGGUCUCUGGGCUGUAACUGACGCUGAGAAGCGAAAGCAUGGGGAGCAAACAGGAUUAGAUACCCUGGUAGUCCAUGCCGUAAACGUUGGGCACUAGGUGUGGGGGACAUUCCACGUUUUCCGCGCCGUAGCUAACGCAUUAAGUGCCCCGCCUGGGGAGUACGGUCGCAAGACUAAAACUCAAAGAAAUUGACGGGGGCCCGCACAAGCGGCGGAGCAUGCGGAUUAAUUCGAUGCAACGCGAAGAACCUUACCAAGGCUUGACAUAUACUGGACCGCUCUAGAGAUAGAGUUUCCCUUCGGGGCUGGUAUACAGGUGGUGCAUGGUUGUCGUCAGCUCGUGUCGUGAGAUGUUGGGUUAAGUCCCGCAACGAGCGCAACCCUCGUUCUAUGUUGCCAGCACGUAAUGGUGGGGACUCAUAGGAGACUGCCGGGGUCAACUCGGAGGAAGGUGGGGAUGACGUCAAAUCAUCAUGCCCCUUAUGUCUUGGGCUUCACGCAUGCUACAAUGGCCGGUACAAAGGGUUGCGAUACUGUGAGGUUGAGCUAAUCCCAAAAAGCCGGUCUCAGUUCGGAUUGGGGUCUGCAACUCGACCCCAUGAAGUCGGAGUCGCUAGUAAUCGCAGAUCAGCAACGCUGCGGUGAUACGUUCCCG